This is a non-coding RNA of Pelobates cultripes (western spadefoot toad), 137 nucleotides long. The record is from the annotation of a GenBank genome assembly. NCBI's taxonomy places the organism in Eukaryota, Metazoa, Chordata, Amphibia, Anura, Pelobatidae.
AAGUCCAUCCUAAUACCCACUGGUUUGUUGAUGUACCUGCUGGGUUUCGCUUGUGGACCACAUUAAUUGGAGAAGUGUCAACUCGUUUGUGGUUUUGUUUAAAUAACCAAAACUUUUAUGCAGACUUCUCUGAACAA